This is a non-coding RNA of Oncorhynchus mykiss (rainbow trout), 1595 nucleotides long. The record is from RefSeq and is a predicted model, not a curated record. Lineage: Eukaryota; Metazoa; Chordata; Actinopteri; Salmoniformes; Salmonidae.
UGGCUUGGCGUUCAGGAUACAGGUAGCUUACCACCGGGAGCCACGUCCUGAGGGAGAGUGUGUCCAGAAGGACUCCUUAUCAUCAGGGACAACAAGGAGGCUCAAGCCCUGGAGAUGGCAACCAUACACCGGCCCCUACUCACCUGCAUGGGCUCUAGCAACUCCACCCAUACUUUGGGGCGGUGUGUCGCCUGCUCAAGCGCUGGCUGGGACCUCUUCAGUGAUGACAUAAGAGGACACUGCUGACCUGCUGGUGGCGUCCCUCUUCCUGCAGCCGUCCGCCUUCACUCCUCCAGGGUCUCCUCCUUCGCUUCCUCCACCUGCUCUCCUCCCUUCGACUGGAGAAACAACCCCCGGUGGUCAACCUCAACAACCAGCUCACCGGGGCUGACGACACUGAGAUCAAGAAUGACUUCAUCUCCAGAGUUUCUGCCUGUCAUGUUCGUUGCCACGCCCAAAGACAAGACGCUGUCAAUCUGGACCAAAUAGGCUCCAUCUGGACAGGUUAGAACACGGACACACAUCCAGUAUAGUCACUAGUACAGUCAUCCAAUAGCAUUGUACACAACAGCCCAUUGUACACAACAUAGUAACAGACUCAGACUUGAAAGAGAAGAAAUAGAAUACAAACUUGUAUCAAAUGAUUGAACUGCGGUGUACUAACUCUCACACUGUCAAAGGCCGGCAAAAAAAAUAAAAAAUCCCGUCUGUGUAUUGAGUAGUUUCGUCAAGGCUCUAAAGUGCGACCAUUUUGGUCGCAUAUGCAUCUAAAUAUUUUGCUGUGCUACCUACAAUUGCAAUUUUGGAGCACCAGUGCACCUACAAGAGAAAUUACUCAGAUAAGAUUUUUUUCUAAUAAUUAUACUUCACUCUACUGUUGUUUUCCAAGUGCCCUAGAGAAACGAUUGAGUGAAUAUUCGUUAGCAUCAUGGUUGUACCAUUUUUACAAUAGCAUUUUUUAAAAUUGUUUCUAGCCCUAGCAGUCCAGAAGAUAUGACCCAAAUUACCCGCACAACAUUUUUUUCCUUCCUAUAGCGGAUUAGAUGUCUGCGUUUUUACUUUCAUAAACAUGUCUCGGGCCAUUCUUAAGCUACUCGUGGGCCAUUCAUUUACGCCUUGUUCAGUCAUGUUACCUCAUUAGCUAGCUAGCUAACAACCGGAUAACUUUACCAGUAUAUUCAAACAUUUGGGGGCACAGAAAGAAAGAAAAAGGGCUAUAUAUUUUUCAGGAGAUCAAUGAUCAUAGUAAUGAAUGACGGAUCUCUUGCAUGUCAUCACACACAAUGUUCUUAAAGGGAUAGUUCACCCAAAUUGCAAAAUGAAUCAUUGGUUUCCUUAUCCUAAAGUUUUAGCAUUUCUGGCACAAAUCCCAUUUAAGUCAUGGGACCGAUAUGACAUUUUUUCGCGCGUCAUGUCCAAAUCAUCCGAAAGUAUCUCAAAUCGAAGCUCAACAAAGUAACUAGUAGAUGAUUUGAACUUGUAACAUGCUAGCAUCAUUCCUCUGACUUUAAUGGGAUUUGUGCCACGAAUGCUAAACCGUUAGCAUGUGGAAACAGUGCCAGGGGAAACUGGAUGCUGUCAUACCUUGUCCAAAG